RNAcentral lists this ribosomal RNA (253 nucleotides) under uncultured bacterium. Its description in RNAcentral is "partial 16S ribosomal RNA". It matches the Rfam family "Bacterial small subunit ribosomal RNA", at positions 524 to 776 of the family's 1533-position model. The record is from RNAcentral.
UACGGGGGGGGCAAGCGUUGUUCGGAUUUACUGGGCGUAAAGGGCUCGUAGGCGGCCAACUAAGUCAGACGUGAAAUCCCUCGGCUUAACCGGGGAACUGCGUCUGAUACUGGAUGGCUUGAGAUUGGGAGAGGGAUGCGGAAUUCCAGGUGUAGCGGUGAAAUGCGUAGAUAUCUGGAGGAACACCGGUGGCGAAGGCGGCAUCCUGGACCAACACUGACGCUGAGGAGCGAAAGCCAGGGGAGCAAACGGG